AGGAACAAAGACAUUUAUUGAUUCCUUUACCUGGGAAGAGCCUGGAGAAGUUCAGUCAAAGGAAAGUGAUGGGAUCUAAGGCUUCAGGCAGCUGGGACCUGGCACUCCCUUUGACUGCCUUUUGUGUCCCAGCAUCACUAUGCAUGAAACAAAACAGGUUUCAAGCAAUUAUAAGACACAACAUAUAAAUCAAGACUUUAGAAUCUUUAUUAAUGCUGAAUUUUUUAUUCCA
RNAcentral lists this long non-coding RNA (232 nucleotides) under Homo sapiens (human). RNAcentral's name for it is "non-protein coding lnc-SESN3-4:1". The record is from RNAcentral. Lineage: Eukaryota; Metazoa; Chordata; Mammalia; Primates; Hominidae.